ACCGAUAUAUAUGAUCGGAUUGGAUCGGAUUAGAUCAGAUCGUGACAUCAUUCGAUAGAAUAGGUGAGAGUUUAGUCGAUCCGGGACAUUCUUGGAAAAGAAAAUUCCUCGCGUAUCUUUCAGCCUACGUACUUACUUCCUUACGUGCCAUCGACGAAUGAAAGCAUUUCAUGCAUAACGUUAUGAAAUCUUCGUUAGUAAUUUCGAGAAGGAGAAAAGGAAACGUUUCGGAUCGUUGAAUGCGUCGCGUAUGGAUUAACUUUCAUCGUUCUUUCACAAAAAAAAAGAAAAAAAUAAACUACGCACGUUAAUCAUCACCGAACAAUAUUUUCUCACAAAGGGCAAGAUGAUUCAUUGAGAUUCUACGUUUGCUGUUAAGGAGUUCUUGGAAAGCGAAUAAUUCACGACGUAAACAUUAUACCGCGAAGGAAAGGUAUUCUAAGCAUGGACACGAAUGGUCCGUCUCGCAUGAAAAUGCACGUCUAAUUACAUCUCGAACAACGUCGUAAUAAUAAUGACAGAAUAUCAAAACUAACUAAUUAAAUAACUAACUAACUAACGAACGAAUGAACGAACGAACGAAUAAAUAAACGAACUAAUAUUAACAAGUUUAUCUUUCGCAACCUGAAUAAUUCUCCACAUGAUUUUCUUUCUGAUAACGAGACACUGUGUUUUUCAAAAGAAAGAGAAAGAGUGAGUGAGUGAGUGUGUUAUGUGUGUGUAUGUGUGUGAGAGAGAGAGAGAGAGAGAGA
Long non-coding RNA from Vespula vulgaris, 752 nucleotides. RefSeq lists it as uncharacterized. NCBI's taxonomy places the organism in Eukaryota, Metazoa, Arthropoda, Insecta, Hymenoptera, Vespidae. The transcript has 2 exons. The record is from RefSeq and is a predicted model, not a curated record.